UCCCAAAAACCUUCGUGUGUCGGAGGAGUGGUACAACCGCUUCAGGAUCAGCUGGGACGUCCCGCCCUCCCCCACCAUGGGCUACCGCAUCGUCUACCAGCCGCUGUCCGCUCCAGGGCCCGGCGUUGGAGACGUUCGUGGGAGAAGACGUGAACACCAUGUUGAUCCUGAACCUCCUCAGCGGGACGGACUACAGCGUGAAGGUCAUCGCCUCCUACACCACGGGCUCCAGCGACGCCCUGACCGGGACAGCCAAGACACUGUACCUGGGCGUGUCCAACCUGAGAGUGUAUCAGAC
Molecule: long non-coding RNA, 298 nt
Filed under: Neogobius melanostomus (round goby)
Lineage: Eukaryota; Metazoa; Chordata; Actinopteri; Gobiiformes; Gobiidae
Description: lncRNA (ENSNMLG00000018197.1)
Source: RNAcentral